Molecule: ribosomal RNA, 440 nt
Filed under: uncultured bacterium
Lineage: Bacteria
Description: partial 16S ribosomal RNA
Rfam family: Bacterial small subunit ribosomal RNA
Source: RNAcentral
CUACGGGUGGCUGCAGUGAGGAAUAUUGCACAAUGGGGGGAACCCUGAUGCAGCAACGCCGCGUGGAGGAUGACGCAUUUCGGUGUGUAAACUCCUUUUAUAUGUCAAGAAAAUGACGGUAGCAUAUGAAUAAGCACCGGCUAACUCCGUGCCAGCAGCCGCGGUAAUACGGAGGGUGCAAGCGUUACUCGGAAUCACUGGGCGUAAAGGACGCGUAGGCGGGUUGGAAAGUCAGGUGUGAAAUCCUACAGCUUAACUGUAGAACUGCACUUGAAACUUCUAAUCUAGAGUAUGGGAGGGGCAGAUGGAAUUAGUGGUGUAGGGGUAAAAUCCGUAGAUAUCACUAGGAAUACCUAAAGCGAAGGCGAUCUGCUGGAACAUAACUGACGCUAAGGCGUGAAAGCGUGGGGAGCAAACAGGAUUAGAUACCCGCUGUAGUC